AGUGAACGCUGGCGGCAGGCCUAACACAUGCAAGUCGAGCGGCAGCGCGUCCGACCACCCUCGGGUGGUCGGAUGGCGGCGAGCGGCGGACGGGUGAGGAAUGCAUCGGAAUCUGCCUCGUUGUGGGGGGAUAACGUAGGGAAACUUACGCUAAUACCGCAUACGACCUACGGGUGAAAGGUGGGGGACCUUCGGGCCUCACGCGAUGAGAUGAGCCGAUGCCGGAUUAGCUAGUUGGCGGGGUAAAGGCCCACCAAGGCGACGAUCCGUAGCUGGUCUGAGAGGAUGAUCAGCCACACUGGAACUGAGACACGGUCCAGACUCCUACGGGAGGCAGCAGUGGGGAAUAUUGGACAAUGGGGGCAACCCUGAUCCAGCCAUGCCGCGUGUGUGAAGAAGGCCUU
RNAcentral lists this ribosomal RNA (404 nucleotides) under uncultured bacterium. Its description in RNAcentral is "bacterial SSU rRNA". It matches the Rfam family "Bacterial small subunit ribosomal RNA", at positions 30 to 418 of the family's 1533-position model. The record is from RNAcentral.